This 475-nucleotide ribosomal RNA is filed under the name uncultured bacterium. RNAcentral describes it as "bacterial SSU rRNA". It matches the Rfam family "Bacterial small subunit ribosomal RNA", at positions 32 to 518 of the family's 1533-position model. The record is from RNAcentral.
ACGACGCUGGCGGCACGCUUAACACAUGCAAGUCGAACGGAGAAUAUUGGUUACUGAGUAUCUUAGUGGCGGACGGGUGAGUACACGUGAGCAACCUGCCUUUGAGAGAGGGAUAGCUUCUGGAAACGGAUGGUAAUACCUCAUAACAUAACGAAGCCGCAUGACUUUGUUAUCAAAGAUUUUAUCACUCAAAGAUGGGCUCGCGUCUGAUUAGAUAGUUGGUGAGGUAACGGCUCACCAAGUCGACGAUCAGUAGCCGGACUGAGAGGUUGAACGGCCACAUUGGGACUGAGACACGGCCCAGACUCCUACGGGAGGCAGCAGUGGGGAAUAUUGCACAAUGGGGGGAAAAACCCCCUGAUGCAGCGAUGCCGCGUGGGGGAAGAAGGUUUUCGGAUUGUAAACUCCUGUCUUAAAGGACGAUAAUGACGGUACUUUAGGAGGAAGCUCCGGCUAACUACGUGCCAGCAGCCGC